GUCUACAGCCAUGCCACCCUGAAUGUGCUCAAUCUUGUCUGAUUUCAGAAGCUAAGCAGGGUAAGGGCUGGUUAGUACUUAGAUGGGAGACCACCUAGGAAUACCAGAUGCUGUAGGUG
Molecule: ribosomal RNA, 119 nt
Filed under: Pteropus alecto (black flying fox)
Lineage: Eukaryota; Metazoa; Chordata; Mammalia; Chiroptera; Pteropodidae
Source: RNAcentral